UGGAAAGAUGAAUCAAAGAAGGUAAUAAUCCUGUAGUCGAAAAUGUUGUCUCUCUUGAGUGGAUCCUGAGUACGACGGAGCACGUGAAAUUCCGUCGGAAUCUGGGAGGACCAUCUCCUAAGGCUAAAUACUCUCUAGUGACCGAUAGUGAACCAGUACCGUGAGGGAAAGGUGAAAAGCACCCCGGAAGGGGAGUGAAAUAGAACCUGAAACCGUGUGCUUACAAGUAGUCAGAGCCCGUUAAUGGGUGAUGGCGUGCCUUUUGUAGAAUGAACCGGCGAGUUACGAUUUGAUGCAAGGUUAAGCAGUAAAUGUGGAGCCGUAGCGAAAGCGAGUCUGAAUAGGGCGUUUAGUAUUUGGUCGUAGACCCGAAACCAGGUGAUCUACCCUUGGUCAGGUUGAAGUUCAGGUAACACUGAAUGGAGGACCGAACCGACUUACGUUGAAAAGUGAGCGGAUGAACUGAGGGUAGCGGAGAAAUUCCAAUCGAACCUGGAGAUAGCUGGUUCUCUCCGAAAUAGCUUUAGGGCUAGCCUCAAGUGAUGAUUAUUGGAGGUAGAGCACUGUUUGGACGAGGGGCCCCUCUCGGGUUACCGAAUUCAGACAAACUCCGAAUGCCAAUUAAUUUAACUUGGGAGUCAGAACAUGGGUGAUAAGGUCCGUGUUCGAAAGGGAAACAGCCCAGACCACCAGCUAAGGUCCCAAAAUAUAUGUUAAGUGGAAAAGGAUGUGGCGUUGCCCAGACAACUAGGAUGUUGGCUUAGAAGCAGCCAUCAUUUAAAGAGUGCGUAAUAGCUCACUAGUCGAGUGACACUGCGCCGAAAAUGUACCGGGGCUAAACAUAUUACCGAAGCUGUGGAUUGUCCUUUGGAC
RNAcentral lists this ribosomal RNA (873 nucleotides) under Staphylococcus aureus. RNAcentral's name for it is "partial 23S ribosomal RNA". It matches the Rfam family "Bacterial large subunit ribosomal RNA", at positions 343 to 1223 of the family's 2925-position model. The record is from RNAcentral. Lineage: Bacteria; Bacillati; Bacillota; Bacilli; Caryophanales; Staphylococcaceae.